UUUUCAAAUAUAAAUUCUAGGUGUUUUAGUCUUAGACACAUUCAUUUGACAACGCUUAAGCAGUCGACAGUGUGUUACAAUAUACAAAUAAAAUAUCAAGAAUAACAAUGAAUUUCGUAAAGUUUUUUGUUUUUGUUCUAUUAAGUGUAAUGGCUGUUUUAUCAGUGAACGCCAAUCCAGCUCCGAAAUUUAGACCGUUUAAAAAACUGGAGAAGCUUGGACAGAGAGUUAGAGACGGCAUCAUCAAGGCGGGUCCAGCUGUCGAAGUCAUAGGACAAGCAAGCACUGUGAUUAAAGGAUAAUAAAGUUUAAGAAUUAGGUGUAAUUGAAAUAAUUAUUUAUUGUAAAUUAUUUGGUUUUGUUAUGUUACAAAAACUUUCAAAAACUAUUUAUAUUAAUUAAAUGGAAAUUCAUAUUUACUUCUUAUUUAUUUUUCUAACAUCUAUGAUAAAUGUUUUUUCGGAUUUUUCUUCGUCAAUAAUAAUUAAAUUAAUUGACAAAUUAUGAUAAUAAUUAUAAGAUAAUUUAAGAGGUCAUUGUAUUUAAUAUUUUUCUUGACUUUAAAUUUAUGGUAAUAAUAAUUUUUUAGUUUAAAAAGCUCAACAAAAUUGUAUGAGAAUUUAUUUAAUUUUGUUUGGACUUUUACACCACAAAGUCAUCUCAAAAAAUUUACAUCCAGUAAUAAAAUAUACAUUUAACUACAUAUUAUGUAAACGUUUUAAGUUCUUUUGUAUGAUAAAAUUUAACGUAAUACGUUUUAGUAUUUGAGCUUUUUGUUUAUUUUAUAAAAAAAAUUUAGUUAGUUAGUUUAGUUUUUUUUUUUUGUUAGUUAGUUUUAAAAUGUUUUAUAGAAGCAUGAGACAUAUUUUUUUUUUAAUUAUUUAAAAAAUAAAUCGUAAAACACUACAAGUUAACUGGGGUAGGGACAGCAGGAAAUAUCCUGUUCAAAAUCUGAUGCUUAAUUGGAUUCUUCAUUGGUCUGUUAUGAAUUUCUGAGUUAGACUUUAUGAAAAGGUAAUUGAAAUUUAAUUCAAAAAAGAUUGAACUAGAUAUCCGUCUAGUGUCUUAAUGUGAUAAUGAUAAUAAUAAUAUGUCUUAGUCAUAGGGGAUGCAGAAACUAUUUGUAGUAGGUUGUUAAAUUAUAAUGUCAUUCUAGUGUUGAUAUGCAUGUAGGAAAAGGGUCACAGCGUAACCCGUCACGCUGC
Molecule: unclassified non-coding RNA, 1205 nt
Filed under: Melitaea cinxia (Glanville fritillary)
Lineage: Eukaryota; Metazoa; Arthropoda; Insecta; Lepidoptera; Nymphalidae
Description: misc RNA ENSMCXG00005007696.1
Source: RNAcentral